CUACGGAGGGUGCGAGCGUUAAUCGGAAUUACUGGGCGUAAAGGGUGCGUAGGCGGCUUGAUAAGUCGGAUGUGAAAGCCCCGGGCUUAACCUGGGAAUUGCAUUCGAUACUGUCAGGCUAGAGUAUGUCAGAGGUUGGCGGAAUUCCUAGUGUAGCGGUGAAAUGCGUAGAUAUCAGGAGGAACACCAGUGGCGAAGGCGGCUAACUGGGGCAAUACUGACGCUGAGGCACGAAAGCGUGGGGAGCAAACAGAAUUAGAAACCCUAGUAGUCC
This 274-nucleotide ribosomal RNA is filed under the name uncultured bacterium. RNAcentral's name for it is "partial 16S ribosomal RNA". It matches the Rfam family "Bacterial small subunit ribosomal RNA", at positions 523 to 796 of the family's 1533-position model. The record is from RNAcentral.